AUGGGUUCUAGGUGCUGGUCGUGCGGCGAGGGCUCGGUGUCGCCGGACCCGGGCUCGGGCGCGCUCGUCUGCACCUCCUGCGGCCUCCAACACGACGCCGGCGCCUCCGAGUUCUACAAUCCGACCGCCUUCACCGAGGACGGCCAGGUUGAUUUCCGCGCCGCCUCCCUCGUCCGCCACCUCUCCCAGUCCCCCUACCGCGAGCUCAAGCUUGCCGCCGCCUCCAACGUCAUCACCUCCAUGGCCGUCCAACUCGGCCUCUCGCCCACCCGCGCCGAGGAGAUCCUCAGCAUGGCCAAAUCCGCCACCGCCGGGAACCUCGCCACCGCCGGCACCACCUUCCUCCCGGCCCUCGCCGCCGCCUGCUCCUUCCUCGUCGCGCGAUCUCACCGCCUCCCUCUCUCCCUCGCCGAGGCCGCCGAGGCCGCGUCCUGCACCACGGUCGCGCUCGGUGACCUCGUAUCCCGCAUCGCCUCCCACCUCUCCCUUCCCCCCCUCCCCUCCUUCGACUACCAGGCUGCGCUCGAACGCGCCGUGCUCGGCUCGUACAAGCUCACCACCGCUGCGGGAGAUGAGAAGACGAGAGCGAUUCUCUCCCAAGCCAGAUUUCUCCUCCGCUGCUCCUUCAAGUGGUCGCUCACCACCGGGCGGCACCCACUCCCACUUCUCGCCGGCCUGAUUGCUUUCGCCGCAGAGCUGAACGGGGUCGCUGAGGUUUCUGUGGAAGACAUUGCCCAGGAGAUGUCGGCGGUCGUGCACACCAGCCGUCUCCGAUACAAGGAGCUCGUUAAAGCGCUGGUGCAUGUCGCGCAGAAGUUGCUUCCUUGGGGUGCCGACGUCAAUGCCAGAAACCUGCUCCUGAACGCCCCAAUGCUGCUCUGGCUCAUGGAGAUGCGGUCACAGUCCGACCCCUCGGAACUGUUUCUUGAGAGCUUUGCUCCGGACAUCGCCGGCAUUGUGCAGGUGUACUCAUCUGUUGAUGAGGACGAGUCCAAGUACCUCCAGAUUGUUCCCCUGGAUGUUGAUGCUUUGGAUUUCAAGAAUUCUGGGAAAGAGGGCAAGGAAUCAGGGGAUUUGAAGAUCUCAGAGGAUUGCUUGUCAGAUGCUUACCAGAAUGUCUUAAAGAGGCUCUCUAAGCUAAAGGAACUUGGGAAGGUUGGGAAAGUUGCUAGCAGGAGGAAGCAGCGGAGGAUAGGGCUGGAGCUGGAACCAUGGAUGGAUUCGCUGGAUGAUCAUCGGACCAAGCGCAUGCCGCUUGAGGAGGUAGCAGAUAUUGACAUUGGCUAUGAUGCACCUCCUCCGUCGAAGGCUCCUGCUGCAGGCACUGCAAAUGCAAUUGAUUCACUGGCUGUUCAUGGAAAUGAAGAUGCUUGUCCACCACAAAAAAAUAGCAGGAAGAAGCUGGGUCGAAAGAGACGAGAUGGCAAGGAUCAUCAUAUCAUGUAUGGAGAUCAUCCAGCGGAGAUGUCAGACGCUCCUGACUCUGAGAAGAAGAAACGUAAAAGAGACCCGUGUGAUGGUAUUGACUGGGAAGAUUGCGUUAUCGAACUCCUUUUAUUACAUGGUGCAAAUGAGGCAGAGAUUGAACAAGGCCAAUACAGAAGACUGUUGGAGUUGCAUGUCUUCAGUGCAAUAAGUGGAGACAGAUAA
RNAcentral lists this ribosomal RNA (1650 nucleotides) under Triticum aestivum (bread wheat). RNAcentral describes it as "partial small subunit ribosomal RNA". The record is from RNAcentral. Lineage: Eukaryota; Viridiplantae; Streptophyta; Magnoliopsida; Poales; Poaceae.